Molecule: ribosomal RNA, 253 nt
Filed under: uncultured bacterium
Lineage: Bacteria
Description: partial 16S ribosomal RNA
Rfam family: Bacterial small subunit ribosomal RNA
Source: RNAcentral
UACGGGGGGGGCAAGCGUUGUUCGGAAUUACUGGGCGUAAAGGGCUCGUAGGCGGCCAACUAAGUCGGACGUGAAAUCCCUCGGCUCAACCGAGGAACUGCGUCCGAUACUGGAUGGCUUGAAUUCGGGAGAGGGAUGCGGAAUUCCAGGUGUAGCGGUGAAAUGCGUAGAUAUCUGGAGGAACACCGGUGGCGAAGGCGACAUCCUGGACCGGUAUUGACGCUGAGGCGCGAAAGCCAGGGGAGCAAACGGG